GCAUAUCAAUAAGCGGAGGAAAAGAAACCAACCGGGAUUGCCUUAGUAACGGCGAGUGAAGCGGCAAAAGCUCAAAUUUGAAAUCUGGCACCUUCGGUGUCCGAGUUGUAAUUUGAAGAAGCUACUUUGGGGCUAGUCCUUGUCUAUGUUCCUUGGAACAGGACGUCAUGGAGGGUGAGAAUCCCGUAUGGCGAGGAGUCUAGUCCUAUGUAAAGUGCUUUCGACGAGUCGAGUUGUUUGGGAAUGCAGCUCUAAGUGGGUGGUAAAUUCCAUCUAAAGCUAAAUAUUGGCGAGAGACCGAUAGCGAACAAGUACAGUGAUGGAAAGAUGAAAAGAACUUUGAAAAGAGAGUGAAAAAGUACGUGAAAUUGUUGAAAGGGAAGGGCAUUUGAUCAGACAUGGUGUUUUGCGACCCUCGCUCCUUGUGGGUGGGGAUCUCGCAGCUCACUGGGCCAACAUCAGUUUUGGCGGUAGGAUAAAUCUUUGGGAAUGUGGCUUGUCUUCGGAGAAGCGUUAUAGCCCAGGGGAAUACUACCAGCCGGGACUGAGGACUGCGACUUUUGUCAAGGAUGUUGGCAUAAUGGUUAAAUGCCGCCCGUCUUGAAACACGGACC
RNAcentral lists this ribosomal RNA (614 nucleotides) under Lachancea thermotolerans. RNAcentral describes it as "partial 26S ribosomal RNA". It matches the Rfam family "Eukaryotic large subunit ribosomal RNA", at positions 38 to 667 of the family's 3401-position model. Lineage: Eukaryota; Fungi; Ascomycota; Saccharomycetes; Saccharomycetales; Saccharomycetaceae. The record is from RNAcentral.